AUUUUGAAAAAUUUAAUUUAUAUAUCCAAGAACUGAUUCCAAUGAUAUAUACCUUACCACCUUAUAUACGUUGUUAUCAAGAUAUACAAUUAUUAUCCAAAUUUAUAUAUGGUCAGCUUUCGUCAGACAUCCUAUAUUAUAAAGUUCCUCAAGUCAAUACAAGAAAAAAUGAGCUACUUUUAAUUCCUAAACAUCGUUUGCGGAAGACAUCUAAUUCCUUCUUUGUAAGAGCCUGUAUUAGUUAUAAUGAACGGUACAUGGUAAAUUGUUUUUUGUAAGGGGGAUCACCCACUGCUUUAUGCCGGGUGGAUGAGAAUGUACAAAUAAAUAAAUAAAUAAAU
RNAcentral lists this long non-coding RNA (341 nucleotides) under Androctonus crassicauda. Lineage: Eukaryota; Metazoa; Arthropoda; Arachnida; Scorpiones; Buthidae. The record is from RNAcentral.